This 497-nucleotide ribosomal RNA is filed under the name uncultured Rhodoferax sp. Its description in RNAcentral is "bacterial SSU rRNA". It matches the Rfam family "Bacterial small subunit ribosomal RNA", at positions 37 to 525 of the family's 1533-position model. The record is from RNAcentral. Lineage: Bacteria; Pseudomonadati; Pseudomonadota; Betaproteobacteria; Burkholderiales; Comamonadaceae.
UGGCGGCAUGCCUUACACAUGCAAGUCGAACGGCAGCACGGGAGCAAUCCUGGUGGCGAGUGGCGAACGGGUGAGUAAUAUAUCGGAACGUGCCCAGUCGUGGGGGAUAACGCAGCGAAAGCUGUGCUAAUACCGCAUACGAUCUCUGGAUGAAAGCGGGGGACUCAGCAAUGGGCCUCGCGCGAUUGGAGCGGCCGAUAUCGGAUUAGCUAGUUGGUGGGGUAAAGGCCCACCAAGGCGACGAUCUGUAGCUGGUCUGAGAGGACGACCAGCCACACUGGAACUGAGACACGGUCCAGACUCCUACGGGAGGCAGCAGUGGGGAAUUUUGGACAAUGGGCGAAAGCCUGAUCCAGCAAUGCCGCGUGCAGGAUGAAGGCCUUCGGGUUGUAAACUGCUUUUGUACGGAACGAAACGGUUGCCUCUAAUAAAGGUGGCUAAUGACGGUACCGUAAGAAUAGGCACCGGCUAACUACGUGCCAGCAGCCGCGGUAAUA